CAUGCACCUAUUUCCCCUGGUCUUAAGCUUGUGGUGGUGGUGAGUAGCUUAUUUCAUGCAGUCAUCACCACCACCACCAUUCAGCCAUCACCAUCAAGGAAACAUCACUAAAGUCAUCACCAUAUCAUGCACCUAUUUCCCCUGGUCUUAAGCUUGUGGUGGUGAUGAGUAGGUUAUUUCAUGCAGUCAUCACCAUCACCACCACCACCACUGGGUCCUUCACUGAACACGCCUGCCAAAAACACCAAAAACUACCAAAAAUAAAUAUGCAUGCAGCGUACGUUCAGAUAAUUCUUCUUACUAGUGUUUUGGUAUUAUUUAGAAAUCACAUAUUUUUCUCAUAGCUACGGUAUAGAUACUUGACUUACUAGUAGUAUUUAGGAAACGGGGAAAUGCAAGCAAUAGGAAAUUUAAAUAUAUUUUUUCCCACAUAAACAAUUGUCACAGGCUCUGUUGUUCCUUUAAAGUUUCAUAUAGUGAAUGUAAUAUUAUAAGAUGCUAAAGAUGUAUGUAUUAUGAUUUAAAUAAGAAAUAUGCAAUAAGUAUAACACUUCCUGCCGGCAGUGUACGAUAUGUUUAGCAGCAGUGUAAACAACCUCCCGAACCAAGACCAAAACCAAGACCUCCCGCGCACUGAUUGGAGGGACAGAGGAUGCAUCGUGUGUGAGGCAGCGGUGUGCCAGCUGGAGGUAUGUUGAGUGGUAAAAUUUUCAACGCUACGUUCCAUCACUACUAUAUGAGUUUGAGAGCAUGACACCACGCCGGACUUGUUUGACUGGUCCUUUAGUGCAUGAAGGAAAUGCCUGCCAAGAGGCUGCACUGAUGCAUUCCUAUCAACCACGUGAUUGGGUGUUGGAGGAUAUGUCGCUGAAUGCUCUUAUUUUGCCAACAAUAAUCAUUAUAAUGACGUGAAUAAUGUACAGCACUCAGAUUUUUUUGUGUAAACAUGAUAGUAACCAUUACAACUCUGAUAUUUUGCUAGUUUGGUACAGAUAAAUGUCAAUUAAGCAGCGGCUCCAGCAGGGCCACCAGAUGGCAGGUCAGUUCAGUGAAGGACCCAAUUCAGUCAUCACCAGAAUAUCAAAAUAAAAAUCUCCAAAAAUAUCAAAUUAGAUCUUAAGGAACAAAUAAUAAUUGUAACUUAAAACAGAGGCAUUGAACUUUGUGACAAUCAAAUCAAGUUCUUAAAGAAAAAUGAAUUGUAACUUGACUAAACUUUAUAAACAAACAUCAAAUCAAGAUAUUUUGCAAAUUAUAAAAAAGUAAUGAAACAAAAUGAUAUUCUCUUAAGCAACUGAAUUAAAUAAUGGAACUUUAUAAUCUUUAUAAUUAUUAAAUUGAGAUCUUAAAGAAAAAUAUAAUAAUUGUAACUUGGAGACACUGUAAAUUAAUAUCAAAUCAAAGUCUUUAAAAAAAUUAUUAAGAGGAAAUACUGAUAUUUUCUUAAGCUUGUUUAAAUAAUGAAACUUUGUAAUUAAAUGUCAAAUCAAGAUCUUUUGCAAAUUAUGAAGCAAGGCAGACAAAAAAUAAAUCAAUAAAACUGAUAUUCUCUUAAGCUCUUGUUAAAAUAAUGAAAACACUGACCUUAGCCUUUGAUAAAUGAUAAAAACAAUAUGAACAGUAUAGUGUAGUUAGUGGUGCAAGGGACUCAUUAUUAGUUAGUGGUUAAAGGUGCCAAGGAAGGGCCAACCAGUGCCACCUCGUCAGUGGUGCCAAGUGUGUUUGAGUGUGUGGCAGAGGCUGUGUUGGGGGCAAGUUAGUGUCAAGCCCUGAACCAGUUAGUGUUAGUGAGUACCAAGGUGAGGGAGGGCCAGUCAGUGCCACCUCAAGUUAGUGGUGCCAAGUGUGUUUGAGUGUGUGGCAGAGGCUGUGUUGGGGGCAAGUUAGUGUUAGUGAGUGCCAAGGUGAGGGCCAAUCAGUACCACCCCAAAUUAGUGGUGCCAAGUGUGUGUUAGAGUAGUGAGUGGCAGAGGCUGUGUUGAGGGCAAGUUAGUGUCAAGCCCUGAACCAGUUAGUGUUAGUGAGUGCCAAAGUGAGUGAGGGCCAAUCAGUGCCACCUCAAGUUAGUGGUGCCAAGUGUGUUAGAGUAGUGUGUGGCAGAGGCUGUGGUGGGGGCAUGUUAGUGUUAAGCCAGUUAGUGAGUGCCUCUAACUGGUCUAGAGCCUAAGUUAGUGAUGUUAAGAUAGCCAUAAGCCAGUCAGUUAGUGAUGCCAAAAUAUAGGGCCAUCAGUGUUAGUGGUGCCAAAAUAGUUCCAUUAGUGUUAGUGGCACUAGAAACAUGGAGCCAUUAGUGUUUGUGGUGCCAAAAUAUAGAGCUGUUAGUGUUA
Molecule: long non-coding RNA, 2327 nt
Organism: Eriocheir sinensis (Chinese mitten crab)
Lineage: Eukaryota; Metazoa; Arthropoda; Malacostraca; Decapoda; Varunidae
Exons: 2
Source: RefSeq, a predicted model, not a curated record